This 2340-nucleotide long non-coding RNA is filed under the name Leguminivora glycinivorella. RNAcentral describes it as "uncharacterized LOC125231869". The record is from RNAcentral. Lineage: Eukaryota; Metazoa; Arthropoda; Insecta; Lepidoptera; Tortricidae.
UGAAAUUUGAAAUUUUAGAGUAUUUCGAAAAAUCGGGACAUUUUCUAAUUUGUCGGGAUUCGGGAACACAUGUUAAAAAUCGGGAGAAUCCCGCCGAAUCCCGACCGUCUGGCAACCCUAGGUGCGAGCUGCGACGCUGCGAGUGCGCCACCAGUCCGCCAUCUUUCUUACCUUUUUGAUGGUUGUUGACUUGUAAAUUUUGUAAUUAGUUUUUGCCGACGUCCGUUUUUUAAGUAAUUUUUGGUAUUUUACAAAUUGUGUUACUUUAGUGGACACGUGGAGACAUGGACGCUGACUGUUGGAAGAAUUCGUCAAUUCAGACUGGCGCAAAGAGCUAUCAGGGCGCGAUGCCAGGAAUUUCAUUGCGAGACAGAAUUCGAAAUGAGGAUAUUCGCCAACGCAAUAAAGUUACCGACAUUGCAAAAAGGAUUAACUCAAGUGGGAAUGGACCGGCUAUAUUUUUCGCAGAGAUGACGAUCAAUGGGGUCGCCUAGUAUUGCUGUGGAGACCUAGCCUGGGUGGCCGAGGUGGCGGGAAACCACGAGCAGAUGGUCGGAUGACACAUAUAGAACGGAGUGGAAACCCACGGAAUGCAGACCAGGAUCAUAUACUUUAGGUAUGAGUUUGUUACUUUUGCUCAUAAUAACAUGGAGUAUGUCACGGCUGCUCCACGGGCUGCAUUGAAGGGCAACAGGAGCGAAAAUGUUAAAAUGGAAAGGAGCUCCCCCUUUCAAUUAGGGAAUCUUAGGAUAUGCUAAGGCAAACAGAAGGAGGCAAGGAACGGGACUGCAUCAAUUGCUGUCUGGAACCAAUCUUGUGGGAUGACUUCUGGACAGGGAAAAACAAUUUCAUCAUCUACCCUAAUACUGACGAAUGUUCUAAAACGUGCUGUAAGGCAGACAUUUCCAAAUGUAACGGAGGAAAGUUUCGAGACAUGUAAUGGUUUCAACAUGCUGCUGAGACCCAACUCAAGAGACGUCAGUUUGUACUGUUUAGUCCAUUCUCUAUUGGGCAUGCUUGUAUAGAGAGGUAUAUAUAUAUAUAUUGGAGUACAGACAUGGUGUUUGGUAUGAGUAUUAUAUACAUCCUUUUGAGUCAAAUAGGACCGGUAGCCACUUUGAACUCCGUGUCCGAAAGGGUCAAAGUAUGGAGCUCCCGGUACUCAGAAAAAAAUUCUGGCCUAUUAGUUUUGAACUUUCGAGUCAAGUUUGGUGUCAUUUUUAAACUGUUCGCUUCGUUUUUAAAUUGAAGAAGAUUAAAAAUCACAGUAAUAUUAUAAAGGCAAAAGUUUGUGAGCAUACCGUGUUUGUUACUUCCUCACGCCACGCCCAAGUGCCUUAACAAAUAUUAUUUAUAAAAUUAAGUAUGGAGGAAGUACGAUAUACCCUAAGUUAACACGUCGCUUCUUCUUGAUCGUGGGUAACACUCGGGGCGCAGUAUAAUGAUUAUUAAAAAUCUUUAUGCUGUCCCCUAUGCUGCGAUGGCGAUCGUUGCAGUACUUUCAAUAUUUUUUUUACAUCAAAUAUUAGAAUCAUCAAAGAUUACUAAUAAAAUAGGCUUUUUAGAAAUAUUUUUUAAAAAUCAUGAUUAGUAUAAAAAUACGGAAAUAUGAGGAUUUGUUUGCAUUUCGUGGCUACUAAAAAUUCAUUAUUAAUAAAUAUUGUGCUAUAUUUUGCUAUGGAACCCUAAAAAAGUAGUUACAUAAAAAUGACACUAAAAUUGACUCAAAGCUCAAACUAAUCGGCCAGAAUUUUUUUCUGAGCAGCAGGAGCUCCAUACUUUGACCCCCUCUCCCCCCUUCGGACACGGAGUUCAAAGUGGCUACCGGUCUUGUUUGACUCGGGAGGACGUGUAUAAUACCCAUGUAGAUGUAGAUGUAGUGUAGGGACGCCUGGCCGGAUACAGGCGGGCUGUCGAUCGCUGGUGCGUUCAUUCAGCCCAAUUCCCUGGAGUUGGAGCUGCAGGUUACUGUCCCGGCUGCCCUCCCACACUUCUCUCCUCAAAUUUUCUUGUUUUCCUGCAGAACAUAAUACCCAUACUAAACGCCAAUGCUCUACUCAAAAAUUCACUUUUUCCCAAUAGAGAACGGACUGUGUUAGACAGUGCAUGUUGUUACACGGUAAAUUUUUCUAGAAGACCAAAUUUAUAAGUUCCUUAGUUAUUCUAUUUUUAACUAAAUAAGUUCUUGUACUAUAAGCAGUAAUCGGAAUAGGCAGAGUAGAUAUAUUUAUUUUUAAACGAAAUGACUUCCUUGCGAUAGUAUUUUUUCAGUACAGAUGGUAUUUUUUUUACGCACUAGUGCGAGAAGUGGUUCAUUAUACGCCAGGUCGAAACUUCGGA